Molecule: ribosomal RNA, 253 nt
Filed under: uncultured bacterium
Lineage: Bacteria
Description: partial 16S ribosomal RNA
Rfam family: Bacterial small subunit ribosomal RNA
Source: RNAcentral
UACGUAGGUGGCAAGCGUUGUCCGGAUUUAUUGGGUUUAAAGGGUGCGUAGGCGGCUUUGUAGGUCAGUGGUGAAAUAUGGCAGCUCAACUGUCAAGGUGCCAUUGAUACUGCAGAGCUUGAGUACAGAUGAGGUAGGCGGAAUUGACGGUGUAGCGGUGAAAUGCUUAGAUAUCGUCAAGAACACCUAUAGCGAAGGCAGCUUACUAGGCUGUAACUGACGCUGAGGCACGAAAGCGUGGGGAGCGAACAGG